RNAcentral lists this ribosomal RNA (499 nucleotides) under uncultured Lachnospiraceae bacterium. RNAcentral's name for it is "partial 16S ribosomal RNA". The record is from RNAcentral. Lineage: Bacteria; Bacillati; Bacillota; Clostridia; Lachnospirales; Lachnospiraceae.
CACGUAGUUAGCCGGGGCUUCUUACUCAGGUACCGUCAACUUCUUCCCUGCUGAUAGAGCUUUACAUACCGAAAUACUUCUUCACUCACGCGGCGUCGCUGCAUCAGGGUUUCCCCCAUUGUGCAAUAUUCCCCACUGCUGCCUCCCGUAGGAGUUUGGGCCGUGUCUCAGUCCCAAUGUGGCCGGUCACCCUCUCAGGUCGGCUACUGAUCGUCGUCUUGGUGGGCCGCUACCCCGCCAACUAACUAAUCAGACGCGGGUCCAUCUCAUACCACCGGAGUUUUUCACACCGGACCAUGCGGUCCUGUGCGCUUAUGCGGUAUUAGCAGUCAUUUCUAACUGUUAUCCCCCUGUAUGAGGCAGGUUACCCACGCGUUACUCACCCGUCCGCCGCUCAGUCAAUCUUAAUUCCAUCCGUAAACUUCCUUAACAUUGCUUCGCUCGACUUGCAUGUGUUAGGCACGCCGCCAGCGUUCAUCCUGAGCCAGGAUCAAACUCU